AGGCUUAUUAACUCGUGAAGAGUUUAAAAAGCCUGUUCCUGGUAAAUCCCUUCUGGAUGCAAGUCCUUUGAAAACUUUUUUGAGUUAAGACGAGGAUAAACUUAAUGAAUCCAUACUGUGAGCGGAUAGGGAAACUGAUAAAAAAGCUGGCGAUAUUUUGUGCCUGACUCAAAAUAUUUUUCACUGGAAGAAUUGAACACGCUUUGGCAACAAUAAGGUUUAAACGAUGACUGGAGUAAUGAACAUGCAACGCCUUCGGGUUUUUCUCUAAUAUUCUCCCAGAAAUACCUUUUUCCUGGCUGGACACAGCACUAGCACCGUCAUAUCCCUGGCCUCGACAAUUUUGAACGGAAGCCCGACAUCUUGAAGUGUACUUUGACUAAUGAACGGAAUCAAAUCCAAAGGCGAAACAGUUCGGUAUACAAAUGAAAAUGUUCUUGAAUCAUGUAAAACUUCAAAUUUAUUCAAGAAUGUAUUAAAUUAUCCAGAAAGUAUAAGCU
Molecule: long non-coding RNA, 500 nt
Filed under: Dendronephthya gigantea
Lineage: Eukaryota; Metazoa; Cnidaria; Anthozoa; Malacalcyonacea; Nephtheidae
Description: uncharacterized LOC114544265
Source: RNAcentral